GCGAUCGUGGCGGAACGGCAGACGCGCUAGGUUGAGGGCCUAGUAGGAGUAUUCCUGUGGAGGUUCAAAUCCUCUCGGUCGCAC
RNAcentral lists this transfer RNA (84 nucleotides) under Macrococcoides caseolyticum. RNAcentral describes it as "Macrococcus caseolyticus tRNA-Leu(gag)". It matches the Rfam family "tRNA". Rfam says of the family: Transfer RNA (tRNA) molecules are approximately 80 nucleotides in length. Their secondary structure includes four short double-helical elements and three loops (D, anti-codon, and T loops). Further hydrogen bonds mediate the characteristic L-shaped molecular structure. tRNAs have two regions of fundamental functional importance: the anti-codon, which is responsible for specific mRNA codon recognition, and the 3' end, to which the tRNAs corresponding amino acid is attached (by aminoacyl-tRNA synthetases). tRNAs cope with the degeneracy of the genetic code in two manners: having more than one tRNA (with a specific anti-codon) for a particular amino acid; and 'wobble' base-pairing, i.e. permitting non-standard base-pairing at the 3rd anti-codon position. RNAcentral also lists the same sequence under 1 other name. The record is from RNAcentral. Lineage: Bacteria; Bacillati; Bacillota; Bacilli; Caryophanales; Staphylococcaceae.